AUUGAACGCUGGCGGCAUGCUUUACACAUGCAAGUCGAACGGUAGAGGGGGCAACCCCUUGAGAGUGGCGAACGGGUGAGUAAUGCAUCGGAACGUGCCCAGUCGUGGGGGAGUAACGCAUCGAAAGAUGUGCUAAUACCGCAUAAUCUCUAAGGAGAAAAGUAGGGGAGUCGAAAGACCUUAUGCUUUUGGUAGCGGCCGAUGUCUGAUUAGCUAGUUGGUGGGGUAAUGGCCUACCAAGGCGACGAUCAGUAGCUGGUCUGAGAGGAUGGCCAGCCACACUGGGACUGAGACACGGCCCAGACUCCUACGGGAGGCAGCAGUGGGGAAUUUUGGACAAUGGGCGCAAGCCUGAUCCAGCAAUGCCGCGUGAGUGAAGAAGG
Molecule: ribosomal RNA, 383 nt
Filed under: uncultured bacterium
Lineage: Bacteria
Description: bacterial SSU rRNA
Rfam family: Bacterial small subunit ribosomal RNA
Source: RNAcentral